Nannospalax galili (Upper Galilee mountains blind mole rat) is the source of this 132-nucleotide long non-coding RNA. RefSeq lists it as uncharacterized. NCBI's taxonomy places the organism in Eukaryota, Metazoa, Chordata, Mammalia, Rodentia, Spalacidae. The transcript has 3 exons. The record is from RefSeq and is a predicted model, not a curated record.
GUAAACUGGAGGAAGAUUUUCUAUACAUGGCUUAUGCAGAUAUUAUGGCAAAGAGUUGUCACGAUGAAGAAGACGAUGAUGGUGAAGAAGAAGUAAAGAGCUUUGAGGUCACAGGAUCCCAAUGCAGCAAGG